RNAcentral lists this long non-coding RNA (1090 nucleotides) under Sus scrofa (pig). RNAcentral's name for it is "lncRNA (ENSSSCG00065037974.1)". The record is from RNAcentral. Lineage: Eukaryota; Metazoa; Chordata; Mammalia; Artiodactyla; Suidae.
GGACUACAAUGCACCAGACUUGUAAACACCUAACUGCUAACCCUCACAGCCACUUUUCAAUUCCAUUUUUAAAAAGGAAAACGGGGGGCUAAGCAAAAUGAAGCAACUUGACUGAAGUGUCUCAAGUGGUAGCUGGUGAGUUGGUGGGGCUAUGAUGCAAGCUUAUCUGGAUCCAACCCCUGCAUUCCUUCUAUUGCACCUAUUUGGCCAAAGGCAAGGACACGCCCCAGGCCAGGAGAGGAUGGGCUUUCCUAGGGCAGAACCCCUGGGGUUCACCUGGGUCAUUGGCUACCAGAGACCCUAGGAGGAGACCCUCAAUCUGCUGGGAGCCGAGCCCCGUGGGCUCCUCAGCUCUGGGCUCCCUGUGUAGGGAGACAGUGCUCUUGACUAACACACAUCAGGCUGCCAGCCUCAGUUUGUAUUUUUACAGUCCACUAAUUAGGCCAUUUUAACUAAUUUGUUUGCAUUUUGUAUGAGCAAGUUGGGCUUUUGGAUUGACUAAUGUAAUUGCAGCUGGUUUCUGCCAAAUACAAAUUACUCAGUCUAGUGUGGGCUAGAGAGAAAAGCAAAUAUUUAAUAGACAUCAAUACCCUUGUAGCUUUUUAGUGGAGCCUUUUCCUCCCCACUGGAAAGUUGAAAUAAUUUUCCCUGCAUCUGAUUGAACUUUCAUGUUAGGAAAUUACUUUUUAAUCAUUUUUUUAAAAAAAAUAAUGAGGCAAAUGCUUUAGUGGCUCUGUUGAGGUUUAUCUCUGAUCCAUUUACCCCUAAGCUCAGGAAACUUAGGGGACUUUUCCAUUUCCAGGCUGCCUUUGCAUAACCUCUUUCUGCUGAGGCCCCUCCUGCCACCACCAAACCAUCCACAUCACUGAUGGCCACAGCCAGAAGGGGCCUGAAAGAUCCUCUGUCUGAUGGUUCUCAGCGUGUGGUCCGUGGACCGGGAAAUCAGCAUCACCCGGGAGGCACAGCCCCCAAGCUUAGCCCAGUACUUGCGGGCACGGGUGUCGGAAAGGAGGUUGCUAUGAAGAACAAAACAAAAUGGAUUGCAUGUGUGGAGGUGAGCUGGCGAAUACUGAUAAAUGUACUUCACUGA